This 460-nucleotide ribosomal RNA is filed under the name uncultured bacterium. Its description in RNAcentral is "partial 16S ribosomal RNA". It matches the Rfam family "Bacterial small subunit ribosomal RNA", at positions 338 to 795 of the family's 1533-position model. The record is from RNAcentral.
CCUACGGGGGGCAGCAGUGAGGAAUAUUGGUCAAUGGACGAGAGUCUGAACCAGCCAAGUAGCGUGAAGGAUGACUGCCCUAUGGGUUGUAAACUUCUUUUAUAUGGGAAUAAAAUGUUCCACGUGUGGGAUUUUGUAUGUACCAUAUGAAUAAGGAUCGGCUAACUCCGUGCCAGCAGCCGCGGUAAUACGGAGGAUCCGAGCGUUAUCCGGAUUUAUUGGGUUUAAAGGGAGCGUAGGUGGAUUGUUAAGUCAGUUGUGAAAGUUUGCGGCUCAACCGUAAAAUUGCAGUUGAAACUGGCAGUCUUGAGUACAGUAGAGGUGGGCGGAAUUCGUGGUGUAGCGGUGAAAUGCUUAGAUAUCACGAAGAACUCCGAUUGCGAAGGCAGUUCACUGGACUGCAACUGACACUGAGGCUCGAAAGUGUGGGUAUCAAACAUGAUUAGAUACCCCUGUAGUC